UACGUAGGGUGCAAGCGUUGUCCGGAAUUAUUGGGCGUAAAGAGCUUGUAGGCGGUUUGUCGCGUCUGCUGUGAAAUUUCGGGGCUCAACCCCGAACUUGCAGUGGGUACGGGCAGACUAGAGUGUGGUAGGGGAGACUGGAAUUCCUGGUGUAGCGGUGAAAUGCGCAGAUAUCAGGAGGAACACCGAUGGCGAGGGCGGGUCUCUGGGCAACAACUGACGCUGAGGAGCGAAAGCGUGGGGAGCGAACAGG
Molecule: ribosomal RNA, 253 nt
Filed under: uncultured bacterium
Lineage: Bacteria
Description: partial 16S ribosomal RNA
Rfam family: Bacterial small subunit ribosomal RNA
Source: RNAcentral